AUCUGCAGUCGAGCGAACUGAUUAGAAGCUUGCUUCUAUGACGUUAGCGGCGGACGGGUGAGUAACACGUGGGCAACCUGCCUGUAAGACUGGGAUAACUUCGGGAAACCGAAGCUAAUACCGGAUAGGAUCUUCUCCUUCAUGGGAGAUGAUUGAAAGAUGGUUUCGGCUAUCACUUACAGAUGGGCCCGCGGUGCAUUAGCUAGUUGGUGUGGUAACGGCUCACCAAGGCAACGAUGCAUAGCCGACCUGAGAGGGUGAUCGGCCACACUGGGACUGAGACACGGCCCAGACUCCUACGGGAGGCAGCAGUAGGGAAUCUUCCGCAAUGGACGAAAGUCUGACGGAGCAACGCCGCGUGAGUGAUGAAGGCUUUCGGGUCGUAAAACUCUGUUGUUAGGGAAGAACAAGUACAAGAGUAACUGCUUGUACCUUGACGGUACCUAACCAGAAAGCCACGGCUAACUACGUGCCAGCAGCCGCGGUAAUACGUAGGUGGCAAGCGUUAUCCGGAAUUAUUGGGCGUAAAGCGCGCGCAGGCGGUUUCUUAAGUCUGAUGUGAAAGCCCACGGCUCAACCGUGGAGGGUCAUUGGAAACUGGGGAACUUGAGUGCAGAAGAGAAAAGCGGAAUUCCACGUGUAGCGGUGAAAUGCGUAGAGAUGUGGAGGAACACCAGUGGCGAAGGCGGCUUUUUGGUCUGUAACUGACGCUGAGGCGCGAAAGCGUGGGGAGCAAACAGGAUUAGAUUCCCUGGUAGUCCACGCCGUAAACGAUGAGUGCUAAGUGUUAGAGGGUUUCCGCCCUUUAGUGCUGCAGCUAACGCAUUAAGCACUCCGCCUGGGGAGUACG
This 850-nucleotide ribosomal RNA is filed under the name uncultured bacterium. RNAcentral's name for it is "bacterial SSU rRNA". It matches the Rfam family "Bacterial small subunit ribosomal RNA", at positions 53 to 884 of the family's 1533-position model. The record is from RNAcentral.